GGAAUAACCAGAAACGUUUUCCAAGAAGAAUCCAAAGAGCACCAAAGACCAAGCCUCUCAACAAAAGUAGGCAAAGUAUAAGGAGGAGGAGACCAGCACAUGAGUAGAGGAUAAGCAGUUUGACCUGAUGAGGAUACACAGGAAACAAGCAGAUCGCUAGUGUCAAAAUUGGCCAGCAGAAUGAAAGAAGUGUUUGCCAUAGGGGCCUUCUUUUGACAAAUGUCC
Molecule: unclassified non-coding RNA, 225 nt
Filed under: Hevea brasiliensis (rubber tree)
Lineage: Eukaryota; Viridiplantae; Streptophyta; Magnoliopsida; Malpighiales; Euphorbiaceae
Source: RNAcentral